UGGCUCAGUAACACGUGGAGAAUCUAACCUUUGGUGGAGGAUAAUCUCGGGAAACUGAGAAUAAUACUCCAUAAACAUAGGAUGCUGGAAUGCUUCUAUGUUGAAAGGCAACGCCAAAGGAUGACUCUGCGACCUAUCAGGCUGUAGUGAGUGUAAUGGACUCACUAACCUGCAACGGGUACGGGUGUUGGAAGACAUUGCCCAGAGAUGGACUCUGAGACGUGAGUCCAGGUUCUACGGAACGCAGCAGGCGCGAAAACUCCGCAAUGUACGAAAGUACGACGGGGGAAUUCUGAGUGCUUACGCCUUGCGUAGGCUGUUUUCUUGUCUAAAAAACAAGGAGAGUAAGGGCUGGGUAAGACGGGUGCCAUCUCGUGCAAUUCUGCACUUAUUGUGUUCGUUGCACGAAGCACAAGCCGCCGCGGUAAUACCCGCGGCCCGAGUGGUGCUCAUUAUUAUUGAGCCUAAAACGUCCGUAGCCGGUUUAAUAAAUUCUUGGGUAAAUCACAUCGCUUAACGAUAUGAAUUCUGAGAACACUGCUAAACUCGGGAAUGGGAGAGGCCAGAGGUACUUUCAGGGUAGGGGUAAAAUCCCGUAAUCCUGAGAGGACCACCGGUGGCGAAGGCGUCUGGCUAGAACAUAUUCGACGGUAAGGGACGAAGCCCUGGGGCGCAAACGGGAUUAGAUACCCCGGUAGUCCAGGGUGUAAACGCUGUAGAUUUGGUGUUGGAAAUCCUACGGGGAUUCCCAGUGCCGGAGAGAAGUUGUUAAAUCUACUGCUUGGGGAGUACGGUCGCAAGACUGAAACUUAAAGGAAUUGGCGGGGGAGCACCGCAACGGGUGGAGCGUGCGGUUUAAUUGGAUUCAACGCCGAGAAACUCACCGGGGGCGACCAUUAUAUGAA
RNAcentral lists this ribosomal RNA (905 nucleotides) under uncultured archaeon. RNAcentral's name for it is "bacterial SSU rRNA". It matches the Rfam family "Archaeal small subunit ribosomal RNA", at positions 86 to 951 of the family's 1478-position model. The record is from RNAcentral.